Molecule: ribosomal RNA, 467 nt
Filed under: uncultured bacterium
Lineage: Bacteria
Description: bacterial SSU rRNA
Rfam family: Bacterial small subunit ribosomal RNA
Source: RNAcentral
AUUGAACGCUGGCGGCAUGCCUUACACAUGCAAGUCGAACGGCAGCACGGACUUCGGUCUGGUGGCGAGUGGCGAACGGGUGAGUAAUAUAUCGGAACAUACCUUGUAGUGGGGGAUAACUAUCCGAAAGGAUAGCUAAUACCGCAUACGCUCUACGGAGGAAAGUGGGGGAUCGCAAGACCUCAUGCUAUAAGAGUGGCCGAUAUCUGAUUAGCUAGUUGGUGAGGUAAAGGCUCACCAAGGCGACGAUCUGUAGCUGGUCUGAGAGGACGACCAGCCACACUGGGACUGAGACACGGCCCAGACUCCUACGGGAGGCAGCAGUGGGGAAUUUUGGACAAUGGGCGCAAGCCUGAUCCAGCCAUGCCGCGUGAGUGAUGAAGGCCUUAGGGUUGUAAAGCUCUUUUUGUCCGGGAAGAUAAUGACUGUACCGGAAGAAUAAGCCCCGGCUAACUUCGUGCCAGCAG